AGCAUCAACUAUUGAAUCUGCAGAUGCCUUCCCCCUAACUACUAUAGUCAAAAAGGAGCCUGGAAUGACAGUUUUCCCUCAUGGUCACCAUCCUAUAUGCUCUAACUGAUCUGCAACAUUUCAGAGAAAGACAACU
This 136-nucleotide small nucleolar RNA is filed under the name Dasypus novemcinctus (nine-banded armadillo). The record is from RNAcentral. Lineage: Eukaryota; Metazoa; Chordata; Mammalia; Cingulata; Dasypodidae.